RNAcentral lists this ribosomal RNA (498 nucleotides) under uncultured bacterium. RNAcentral's name for it is "partial 16S ribosomal RNA". It matches the Rfam family "Bacterial small subunit ribosomal RNA", at positions 29 to 523 of the family's 1533-position model. The record is from RNAcentral.
AUUGAACGCUGGCGGCAUGCCUUACACAUGCAAGUCGAACGGUAACGCGGGGCAACCUGGCGACGAGUGGCGAACGGGUGAGUAAUGCAUCGGAACGUGCCCAGAAGUGGGGGAUAGCCCGGCGAAAGCCGGAUUAAUACCGCAUGAGACCUGAGGGUGAAAGCGGGGGAUCGCAAGACCUCGCGCUUUUGGAGGGGCCGAUGUCAGAUUAGCUAGUUGGUGGGGUAAAGGCCUACCAAGGCGACGAUCUGUAGCUGGUCUGAGAGGACGACCAGCCACACGGGGACUGAGACACGGCCCAGACUCCGACGGGAGGCAGCAGUGGGGAAGUUUGGACAAUGGGCGCAGGCCGGCUCCAGCCAUGCCGCGUGCGGGAAGAAGGCCUUCGGGUUGUAAACCGCUUUUGUCAGGGAAGAAACGCUCUGGGCUAAUACCCUGGGGUAAUGACGGUACCUGAAGAAUAAGCACCGGCUAACUACGUGCCAGCCGCCGCAGUAA